CCAUGGAAACAUUUAAACAGCACAACAAACUAAAAACAAAUUAAAAUACAAUAUGAUACAAAUAAACUACAAGGACAAAAAGAGGAUAGCAAGGAGAAGGAAAAAAGUCUGUCCCGUACAAUAUGUAGGCAUGGCAAGCAUCCAGUAAUGGCUUGUGGAAAACAAUUUAAAAAGAAACACAGAUACAUGCAAAAAUAAAAGAGAAAACAAAUUACGUUUACUUACAAUCAGACGAAACGGCAAGGAGGACGAGCAACAACAAAGCACCAGCAGGCAUGAGCAGAGGCAAUGCAGUAGUUGCAUUGUCCCGUCAAUACCGGCCAGCUCCGUCAUCCUCCUGUACCACAGCCAUGCUGCUGGAUUAUGGGCGUCUCAGUUGUGUAGUGGCAUGUUGGAUAGGAAACGCCGUCGUCAAUGUAUUAAUGGCCUCCAGAAGUUAAAGAGUACAGCAGUUGUGGUCCAUCGAGCGGCAAUCUGGUCCGGCCGCCCGGAAGUUGGCUGUGUGUCUGAGUGUGUGUGUGUGUGCCGCAUCAAGUAUUCGGGAAUGGCUUCAAAACUCACCCAAGCUGGCUGGCAUGGCAUGGCCAGGCCAAUGUGAGUGAAGGCAGGCUAAAGCAGCACACAAACACAGACACAGAUGC
Long non-coding RNA from Drosophila obscura, 641 nucleotides. RefSeq lists it as uncharacterized. Lineage: Eukaryota; Metazoa; Arthropoda; Insecta; Diptera; Drosophilidae. The transcript is spliced from 3 exons. The record is from RefSeq and is a predicted model, not a curated record.